ACACAUGCAAGUCGAACGGCAGCACGGGUGCUUGCACCUGGUGGCGAGUGGCGAACGGGUGAGUAAUACAUCGGAACAUGUCCUGUAGUGGGGGAUAGCCCGGCGAAAGCCGGAUUAAUACCGCAUACGAUCUACGGAUGAAAGCGGGGGACCUUCGGGCCUCGCGCUAUAGGGUUGGCCGAUGGCUGAUUAGCUAGUUGGUGGGGUAAAGGCCUACCAAGGCGACGAUCAGUAGCUGGUCUGAGAGGACGACCAGCCACACUGGGACUGAGACACGGCCCAGACUCCUACGGGAGGCAGCAGUGGGGAAUUUUGGACAAUGGGCGAAAGCCUGAUCCAGCAAUGCCGCGUGUGUGAAGAAGGCCUUCGGGUUGUAAAGCACUUUUGUCCGGAAAGAAAUCCUUGGUUCUAAUAUAGCCGGGGGAUGACGGUACCGGAAGAAUAAGCACCGGCUAACUACGUGCCAGCAGCCGCGGUAAUACGUAGGGUGCGAGCGUUAAUCGGAAUUACUGGGCGUAAAGCGUGCGCAGGCGGUUUGCUAAGACCGAUGUGAAAUCCCCGGGCUCAACCUGGGAACUGCAUUGGUGACUGGCAGGCUAGAGUAUGGCAGAGGGGGGUAGAAUUCCACGUGUAGCAGUGAAACGCGUAGAGAUGUGGAGGAAUACCGAUGGCGAAGG
Molecule: ribosomal RNA, 677 nt
Filed under: uncultured beta proteobacterium
Lineage: Bacteria; Pseudomonadati; Pseudomonadota; Betaproteobacteria
Description: bacterial SSU rRNA
Rfam family: Bacterial small subunit ribosomal RNA
Source: RNAcentral